Pan troglodytes (chimpanzee) is the source of this 1719-nucleotide long non-coding RNA. RefSeq lists it as uncharacterized. NCBI's taxonomy places the organism in Eukaryota, Metazoa, Chordata, Mammalia, Primates, Hominidae. The record is from RefSeq and is a predicted model, not a curated record. The transcript has 2 exons.
GGCAUGGCCGGUACGUGCCCGGCGCGUCCGCCGCGGGCCAGGGUGCGGGUGUCGGGCGGCGUGCGGGCUGGGGCUGCGCCCGUGCAGGAUGCCCGCUGCCGGCGAGUGGGUCGCGAGCAGGACACUUCGGAGAGCGGCUCUGCAGACCCUUCAGGGUUCCUGCCUUGGGGCUCAGAGAAUCUAGACUUGGGCUGAGAAGGUUGCAGGGAUUUGGAUGCUAACAUAUCUCCUAGUUUCCAGCGCUCGCCCUGCAGAGCGUGCCAUCUCGGCAGCUGUUGAAAGGUCAGUUGGAAAAGCAUUCAUUCGGGGAGCGACGAGCAAACAUGCACAUAAAAUAGCGUUUCAAGUCGGCCCGGGAUGGUUCUGUGUGAACUGGUGUGUGUGUUCGAGGGGCGGGGGUGGAAUGAGCAGAAGCCAAGUCUUUGCCUGCGCAGGCUGAGUUGAUAUAGACUAUUGCUGGAAACCAUCCGCUGGGAUGUUUCUUAGGGAAAUCCCGUCGUGUGGAAGGAAGCCUUUUAAAGGCAAAGUCAGAUGUUGAGGAAUUAGCCUUUUCAUAGAAUUAUCAAAGGAUGGCUGUACAGAUCACCUAGAAAAUAAUUCAGUAUUUCAGGUUUUUCUUUUCUGGGAGUGUGAUAACUGAAAUUGUUAGAUUUUGGCUCAGUUAAGAAAAGAAAGGUAAGUGUGCUGGUGCUUUAGAUACGUUUUCUAUGCAAAUCAUUAGAUUUCCUGCAUUUAGCUGGCAGGAAAUAUUGUCUAAAUGGAGUGUGUAAGAUCCUGAGUCAAACCCUAAGAACGCAUAUUUUGACUCUUCCUUUUGAUGAAAAACAGAAAAAAGGGGGGGAGGCAGAAACUUGGAUGCUUCCUAAAAUGAUUGUGUUGUGUACAUGUAAACAUAUAUAUUUAGGAAUACCUGGAAUUUAUGUCGCAUAUUUUCCUUUUUUUUUUUUCUGGUCAAGAUUUGAGCUCUAGUGUGCGACCUUUUUAAUAAAAGGGGAAGAGGUUUUUCCCUUUCACGGGAGAACGCUUUAUUUGAUACAAGGUAGAAGGCAGACUGAGUAAGGGCUUGACUUUAGAAGGAUACUCGGUGAGCAGUCCAUGAAAAUGUCUUACCUACUUAAUAUUUUCAUUCACCUACUUUGAUGAAUGAAGGGAAGAAUUUCUGGCCAGCAAUAAAACGAUUCGUGUUUAUUCAGCCCGUUCCAUCACCUUGUGGCUCCCUACACACUGUGGGGGUAGGUGAUGCAUAGCCUUCCGUGGGCAGCGUUUCAGCAACUCAACCCGGCAUUCGUGUCUUACUUUCGUCGUCACUUGUCACUCUAAAGCAGCCAGUGGGCAAGAAGGUUUAUUUCAGAAGCUCCGAAGGGAGGCAGUGCUUUGAAAACCCCAGCAGAGUUUAAAAUAUACAGGCUUUUUCAAUUUUGCUGUGAGAGUUUGGUCGUCAUCUCAUGGUGAGAAAAUAGCUCUUGAUGAUGCCUUGGAAAUGGAGAGGGCCUGCGGAAGCAGAGAGAGACUGACACGUGAACAAGAAAAAUUAAUCAUUUAAUGGAAACCUCAUUUACAAUUUGCAUCUCUCCCCCUCUUUCUCUCUUAUGCCUAGAGGAAAGCCAUGAUUUUAAGUGCUUCCAGUUUCUUUUGGCUGGGCCUUUAUUAGAGACUUGAGCCCAUAUAUCCUAAUUAGUGUGGACACUUUUAGAAAUUAAAGCAAUUUAUGUUUCUCUU